ACGAACGCUGGCGGCGUGCCUAAUACAUGCAAGUCGAACGGUCUUUCUAUGGAAGCUGCUUCCACUGAGAAGAUAGUGGCGAACGGGUGAGUAACACGUGGGUAACCUGCCCAUAAGAGGGGGAUAACAUCCGGAAACGGGUGCUAAUACCGCAUAGUUUUCUUGAUCGCAUGAUCGGGAAAGGAAAGACGGCCUUUGUGCUGUCGCUUAUGGAUGGACCCGCGGCGUAUUAGUUAGUUGGUGAGGUAAUGGCUCACCAAGACGAUGAUACGUAGCCGACCUGAGAGGGUGAUCGGCCACAUUGGGACUGAGACACGGCCCAAACCCCUACGGGAGGCAGCAGUAGGGAAUCUUCCGCAAUGGACGAAAGUCUGACGGAGCAACGCCGCGUGAGUGAAGAAGGUUUUCGGAAUCGUAAAACUCUGUUGUCAGAGAAGAACAAGUUGGAGAGUAACUGCUCCAGCCUUGACGGUAUCUGACCAGAAAGCCACGGCUAACUACGUGCCAGCAGCAGC
This 515-nucleotide ribosomal RNA is filed under the name uncultured bacterium. Its description in RNAcentral is "bacterial SSU rRNA". It matches the Rfam family "Bacterial small subunit ribosomal RNA", at positions 29 to 518 of the family's 1533-position model. The record is from RNAcentral.